This 299-nucleotide small RNA is filed under the name Histoplasma capsulatum. RNAcentral's name for it is "hypothetical RNA". Lineage: Eukaryota; Fungi; Ascomycota; Eurotiomycetes; Onygenales; Ajellomycetaceae. The record is from RNAcentral. RNAcentral also lists the same sequence under 1 other name.
AGGCCAGUUCGAGGAUGAAUCGUUUCGGCUCCCGUCCUUAUUGAUGAACACAAGGAGACCGGGAGGAUCUCGCCAUGUGAAUAUAUGGUUGCAGUGAGACCAGCAUGAACUUUCCAUUGGAUACGAACCAAUUUGAUAAAAUAUCGGAGGUUGGUUGGACGAAAUAUUCUGUUCUUGACUGUUGCCCAUCUUUGUCUGCUUCCAUUUUAGGGCUAAAGGAGAUUCAGGAUAGUGGCGGUGAGCUCCGGGUCUAAUGGAUGUAGUAAUCCCUGGACGAUUUGGCCAGCAGUUGUUUCCCA